This 492-nucleotide ribosomal RNA is filed under the name uncultured bacterium. Its description in RNAcentral is "partial 16S ribosomal RNA". It matches the Rfam family "Bacterial small subunit ribosomal RNA", at positions 29 to 507 of the family's 1533-position model. The record is from RNAcentral.
AGUGAACGCUGGCGGUAGGCCUAACACAUGCAAGUCGAACGGCAGCACAGUAAGAGCUUGCUCUUACGGGUGGCGAGUGGCGGACGGGUGAGGAAUACAUCGGAAUCUACUUUUUCGUGGGGGAUAACGUAGGGAAACUUACGCUAAUACCGCAUACGACCUACGGGUGAAAGCAGGGGAUCUUCGGACCUUGCACGAUUGAAUGAGCCGAUGUCGGAUUAGCUAGUUGGCGGGGUAAAGGCCCACCAAGGCGACGAUCCGUAGCUGGUCUGAGAGGAUGAUCAGCCACACUGGAACUGAGACACGGUCCAGACUCCUACGGGAGGCAGCAGUGGGGAAUAUUGGACAAUGGGCGCAAGCCUGAUCCAGCCAUACCGCGUGGGUGAAGAAGGCCUUCGGGUUGUAAAGCCCUUUUGUUGGGAAGGAAAAGCAGCAGGUUAAUACCCCGCUGUUCUGACGGUACCCAAAGAAUAAGCACCGGCUAACUUCGUG